UAUAACACGUUGUGUUUCUCCAAUUUACUACUAAAUAUCUAAUCAUGGCCGUGACUAGCUAAAGGCCAUGUUUGUAUUAUGAUUUCAUUUUGUUAUGGCGGAGGUCCUUAAAAUGGGGCUCUGAGAAUGGAAAGGCAGAAGGCUCUGGUGGUACAUUGCAUGCUGUAUCUUUCUGGAACUUCUCUAGAUGCAUCUGUUUCUGCAGUGACCAAAAAUAAAUCUCUCUGCAUAGAUAUGUCUGACUCCUGAUUGCUCCUUUGCCGCCGGUCUCAUUUUAUGCUGAACAUCAUCACAGAAAUUCCACAACACUGCACUGUUACAAAAUCAC
Molecule: long non-coding RNA, 328 nt
Organism: Thalassophryne amazonica
Lineage: Eukaryota; Metazoa; Chordata; Actinopteri; Batrachoidiformes; Batrachoididae
Exons: 3
Source: RefSeq, a predicted model, not a curated record